CAAGUGAGGAAUGGGGAAGGAGGGUGGAGGAAGGAGCUUGUAAAUGAGCAGCUGGUUUGCAGCAAAACCGCACCUCACUCUGCACCUUUGGAUCCCUCUCAGCCUGAGGUUAGCACAGCCAAUGUCCUCACCAGCGUCUGCCAAAGCCCAUGGAGAAGGCCAGCAGGAGCAUAUCACUGUGACUUACAACCCUUCUCUAGUCUGCUACAAUGGAAUCUUAAACAAGAAAAUUUUAUAUUUUGACUUGCAUCAUUGAGAAAAACACUGCCAACCUGAUCGUGGUUCCUUUGAAGAGCAUGGAAGGAAGCAAUGAAAAAAGCCUCACUCCUGGUUGCACACCUGGGAUUCUGUACCUGACGGACACCAUCCAUCCUUUUAGAUGAUGCAUUGAGUCCUAACUAUUCCCUUCCCAAGAAAGUUCAAGCCAGGAGAUCAAUCUGCUUGGGAUGGAAAGAAUCACUGCAGCAGGUGCGAGAGAGGACUCAUGGAGCUUGCAGAUGAGCUAGCCCAGUUUUUAGAGUACUUCGUCCACGGCGCCAAGGUGUCUAGGGCAGAGACACCACAACCUCCUAAGGAGUGUUACCCGUGAUGCCAGGUGCAGGUGAAAGAAGUUGGAAUUGAAAAGAGCAGCAAAAAAUGUACUGCUUUUUAGUGCAUAAGAUCAUGAAAAUAUUGCACUGUGAGGGGAAAAGGUUGGUUUUCAGAGUUG
Molecule: long non-coding RNA, 709 nt
Filed under: Homo sapiens (human)
Lineage: Eukaryota; Metazoa; Chordata; Mammalia; Primates; Hominidae
Description: HSALNT0188556
Source: RNAcentral